GACGAACGCUGGCGGCGUGCUUAACACAUGCAAGUCGAACGGAAAGGCCCUGCUUUUGUGGGGUGCUCGAGUGGCGAACGGGUGAGUAACACGUGAGUAACCUGCCCUUGACUUUGGGAUAACUUCAGGAAACUGGGGCUAAUACCGGAUAGGAGCUCCUGCUGCAUGGUGGGGGUUGGAAAGUUUCGGCGGUUGGGGAUGGACUCGCGGCUUAUCAGCUUGUUGGAGGGUAGUGGCUUACCAAGGCUUUGACGGGUAGCCGGCCUGAGAGGGUGACCGGCCACAUUGGGACUGAGAUACGGCCCAGACUCCUACGGGAGGCAGCAGUGGGGAAUAUUGCACAAUGGGCGGAAGCCUGAUGCAGCAACGCCGCGUGCGGGAUGACGGCCUUCGGGUUGUAAACCGCUUUCGCCUGUGACGAAGCGUGAGUGACGGUAAUGGGUAAAGAAGCACCGGCUAACUACGUG
RNAcentral lists this ribosomal RNA (467 nucleotides) under uncultured bacterium. Its description in RNAcentral is "partial 16S ribosomal RNA". It matches the Rfam family "Bacterial small subunit ribosomal RNA", at positions 28 to 507 of the family's 1533-position model. The record is from RNAcentral.